This 205-nucleotide ribosomal RNA is filed under the name uncultured bacterium. RNAcentral describes it as "partial 16S ribosomal RNA". It matches the Rfam family "Bacterial small subunit ribosomal RNA", at positions 568 to 774 of the family's 1533-position model. The record is from RNAcentral.
CUCGUAGGUGGCCAACUAAGUCAGACGUGAAAUCCCCAGGCUUAACCUGGGAACUGCGUCUGAUACUGGAUGGCUUGAAUUCGGGAGAGGGAUGCAGAAUUCCAGGUGUAGCGGUGAAAUGCGUAGAUAUCUGGAGGAAUACCGGUGGCGAAGGCGGCAUCCUGGACCGAGAUUGACACUGAUGAGCGAAAGCAGGGAGCAAACG